UACGUAGGGGGCAAGCGUUGUCCGGAAUCAUUGGGCGUAAAGAGCGUGUAGGCGGCCCGGUAAGUCCGCUGUGAAAGUCCAGGGCUCAACCCUGGGAUGCCGGUGGAUACUGUCGGGCUCGAGUCCGGAAGAGGAGUGUGGAAUUCCUGGUGUAGCGGUGAAAUGCGCAGAUAUCAGGAGGAACACCGGUGGCGAAGGCGGUUCUCUGGGAAUGACCUGACGCUGAGGAGCGAAAGCUAGGGGAGCAAACGGG
Molecule: ribosomal RNA, 253 nt
Filed under: uncultured bacterium
Lineage: Bacteria
Description: partial 16S ribosomal RNA
Rfam family: Bacterial small subunit ribosomal RNA
Source: RNAcentral